GCCUUGGUGGUGUAACGGUUAGCACAUUCGGCGCGGAUUCGAGAGGUCCAGGUUCGAAUCCCGGUGAGGGCA
This is a non-coding RNA of Stegodyphus mimosarum, 72 nucleotides long. The record is from Rfam. Lineage: Eukaryota; Metazoa; Arthropoda; Arachnida; Araneae; Eresidae.